Non-coding RNA from Drosophila melanogaster (fruit fly), 1060 nucleotides. The record is from Ensembl. Lineage: Eukaryota; Metazoa; Arthropoda; Insecta; Diptera; Drosophilidae.
CUCUAAAAUUCAUCAAAAUUAAAAUGCUAAUAUUUUUCGUUUUUUAUUUAUAUUUUGGCACUGCAUCUUGUAUAUUUAUUCUGGAAGCUCGUUCUUGGGACGCAUAAUUUUACGAACCCGUUGAAUCCAUUUGAGCCUGAAUAAAUUUGAAAUCUCAUAAGCCAUUUGAUUGGCCAAGAAUAUCCAGAACAGACCGUACCGGUCGUUCCCCCGUCACAGUCAUUUAGAUUUGUACCCUAAAAUUGGGUCGACUGUUGAGUAUCUGAAGCGUUUGGCAGCGAAGAGGGCUGGGCAAUUGAAACGGCCUACCGACCUGGCCUACACCCAUACACGUGCAACUGGGAGGGUGGCUCACACGGAUAGGAAACCGCACGGUCCCUACACGGUAAUUAUCUAACAAGAUUACGCAAAAUGUUCCUCCCCGGCGAUGGAAACGGAAACAACGACAGCCGUUGCACUGGCAGGACUCGUGGUGGGAAAACGGGGGAAAAUGAGGUGUGGGAGUUGAGUUGGGGCUGGUGAAAGCCAGUUCGGCGAGGCAAGAAGGUGAGGCAACAACGCCCGCUGACAGUGGACAGAAUGCAAAAUGUUGUUAAGUCGCUGGCAAAACGCUCCGAUGCACAAGUGGACUGUUGGGUUGGUGGUUAUGGCUGCAAGGGCGAAGCGUCCCAACAGAACCGGAUUGCAGCAGGCGGAGGCGUUGGAUUACGGCUCUUAAUCCUACGAAUAUCUCGCUUUUGCAACUGGCUUAAAGAGAAAGUGUGUCAGUCUCAGGUGUCCUUGCAUCUGCUGACGAAUGCCGCUCCCAGUCGGUCGGAUCAGCCACAGAUGCUGAAAUCAUUUGCAAUCCCCAUCAUGAGUUGAAUGUUUGGCACGCAUCACCCAGGGGAAGUUGAAUUGGACUGCAACAAACUGAUGGCGCACUGCAGAAACCGUAGAAACAUAUCGGCCAUCUGAACUAAUUGCGUCUGAAUUAAUUCACAGGUGAUACAAAGGCAAUUAAAUGGGAAUUUCUUAACUGGUUUUGACAGAACUGGUUUGGAAGGAUCAAAAAAUGCUU